Molecule: long non-coding RNA, 4400 nt
Organism: Gossypium arboreum
Lineage: Eukaryota; Viridiplantae; Streptophyta; Magnoliopsida; Malvales; Malvaceae
Exons: 3
Source: RefSeq, a predicted model, not a curated record
AUGAAAUAUGAAGUUUUAUUAAAAGAAAAAGGGGUAAAAAGAACAAAGUUUUGUCCAUCUUUGUUCAUCAUAGCUGAAAGUUAGAGAAGAGAAAGGAGAGGAGAAAGCUCUUGAGUAUUCGGUCAUUAGGAGGAGGAAAAUUGAAGGAAAUCCCCAACCAUAGUGGGCUUGGAGCUGUGAGGGAAUUCGGAGUGACCACCCGUUCUGAAAGUUUGAUUUUCUUCUGGUGAACUGGACAUCCUUUUAAUUACGUUUGAGGUUUUGGGCUUUUAAAUUUAAUAAGGCCACUUAUUUAUUUUUGAUGGUUUUAAUAUGUAUUAGUAAGAUAGGUAUUACUUAUUUUAACUGUUGAAACUGGAUAGCUUUAGGGCGCGUUUUCAAAAACAACAGUUGAUUUCAAAAUAACACGACAACAAGCAAAGCUUCCGCAAUGAAAGUAUUUUCCAAAAUUAAUCACUUUUCCUAAAAAUGACUUAAUCGAAUCGGUUUCCUAGAAAUAUCCAUCACGUUAAGGUGUAGCAAUGGCGGUAUGCAUGUCUAGGAUUGGAUCCGAAGGGAGCUUGGUACUUAAGCAGUCCGAUGGACUCACCACCUCUUUUCUGGUUUCCUACUUGGUGCAUAGCUUCCAUUCACUUUAACCCUUAAUGAAUUAACCUUUUGAACAUCAAGUACGAUUUUCUGGACUUAGAAUGGAAAUAUUUUUUUUACGUUUUUGAUGUGGUAUGCCGGAUCCGACCAUAACUUCUGGGCCGGGUUUGGGGUGCUACAUUUAGUGGUAUCAGAGCCUAGGUUGCAACAACUCGGCUGUGGAAUGGGUUUACAAAAUUUAGAUCUUCGAAAACAAAAAUUUUAUAAAGAUUGCGAAAAAUGCGAUUUUCAAAAUUUAGAUCUUUAGAAGGUGGCAUUCGAAUCUCGGCUCAAGCACGUAAGUAUUAGUCCGAACUCUUACGAAUAUUUUUCCGACUUAUCUGCAUCAUUGAAAUCCUCGCUAGGAUACUCUAGAUAGGAUGAUCUGAAACCAUAGGAAAAUCGAUAAAGAUCGAAAGCGUAGCUAGACUUGAUUCUGCGAAAACAAACUCUAACUCUUAUCGAUUCAUAAAACAUCCGUAAUAAACACCGGAAUAUUAAUUGAUGCAUAAAAAUUCGUAAUCAAGAUAAUACGAUAUGAGUACAAGAGGCCGUGGAUGGGCCGAGGAAGUGCUCGGCGAGAUCUUCGUCUUGAGACAUAUGUCGGCGGUGGAUGCACCAAGUACCACCGACAAUAGCGGUAGAAGUCUCAUGACCAUGAGGCAGGGAAUGAUGCCCGUCACGAGCAAUGCUUCGUGUUCUGGAAAGGGUUGCCUGAGCAAGUUCGGGCAACGAAAUUCAGGGAUCUAUUUCUAAAUGACUUCGGGACUAACGGAACGGAGAUCUUUAAGGGAGUGUCUGGUAUAGCCCCGAAUGUGGCGGAAUAUUGAUUGGAGGCCACAGAACGGAUUAUGGACGACUUGGACUGCUCUGAGGAGAUUGUGAGUGGGGUAUCUGUACUAAAUCCCUUAGGUCACUCGGUUAGGGUAGACAAACUGUAUAGGAAUGUACCCUUAGAAACCCAAGGUAAGAUUUUCCCUGGAGAUCUGAUGGAGUUACCAUUCGGAGAGUUUGAUCUCAUUUUGGGAAUGGACUGGCUUGUUAAGCAUAAAGUGACUCGGAUUGUCUUUGUUAAGCGAAUGGUGUUAAGGACCACAAAGGAUGAGGAGGUUAUGGUAAUAGGUGAGCGAAGGGAUUAUUUGUCCAAUAUGGUGUCGGCAUUAGGAGCCGAAAAGUGGAUUCGAAAAAGUUGUGAGGCCUAAUUGUUAUUUGUAAGUCAGUCGGAAGAGGAGGGACUGACAGUGGAUAAGGUUAGGACCGUAAAGGAGUUCCAAGAUGUUUUUCUAGAGGAGCUUCGAGAUUGCCUCCGAAUCGAGAAGUUGAGUUUGGAAUAGACUUGUUGCGGAAUGGCGCUGUGUCUAUCGCACCGUAUAGGAUGGCAAGAAGGAAUUAGUAGAGUUAAAUGCUCAAAUUCAAGAGUUGUUGGAUAGGGGCUUUAUUUGGCCAAGCGUGUCUCCAUGGGGAGCACCGGUGCUAUUCGUGAAAAAGAAGGAUGGUACGAUGCGGAUGUGCAUUGAUUAUCGCCCAUUGAACAAAGCGGCGAUUAAGAAUAAGUAUCCACCGCCAAAGAUUGACGAUCUAUUCGACUAGCUUAGAGGAGCUUCUGUAUUUUCCAAGAUCGACCUUCGAUCUGGAUAUCAUCAGUUAAGGGUCAAGGAGGCAGAUAUCCAAAAGACGACAUUCAAGACUCGGUAUGGUCAUUACGAGUUUCUGGUUAUGCCAUUUGGACUAACGAACGCUCUUGCAGCGUUUAUAGAUCUGAUGAAUCGUGUGUUCCAACCAUUUUGGAUCAGUUCGUAGUCGUCUUUAUUGACGAUAUCCUGGUAUAUUCUAAAAUUGAAACGAAACAUGAUGAGCAUCUCCGUAUAGUGCUGUAAGUAUUAAGGGAGAAUGAACUCUUUGCGAAGUUCAGCAAGUGUGAAUUUUGGUUGAGGGAGGUAACCUUCUUAGGACAUGUGGUCUCUGCUGAGGGGAUUAAGGUGGACCCUCGGAAAAUUGAAGCGAUUUUGGAGUGGAAGCCGCCUAGGUCAGUGUCAGAAAUAUGGAGUUUUCUAGGACUGGCAUGAUACUACAGAAGGUUUGUGGAAGGUUUUUCUGUGAUGGCAGCACCUCUGACAAAACACAUAAGGAAAGGAGUACCGUUUGUAUGGACUAAGAAAUAGCAGGAAGCUUUUGAGAAGUUGAAGAAAGUUCUGACUGAAGCACUUGUGUUAAUUCAGACGGAGUCUGGGAAUGAUUUUACUGUGUACAGUGACGCAUCACACGUGGGUUUGGACUGCGUGUUAAUGCAAGAGGGUAAGGUGGUUGCAUAUGCAUCACGAUAGCUUAAGCCUCAUAAGGGAAACUAUUUGACUCAUGAUUUAGAGUUGGCAACAGUGAUAUUUGCACUUAAGAUUUGGAGACAUUACUUGUACGGAGAAAGGUGUAUUGUAUACACUGACCAUAAGAGUCUUAAGUAUUUGUUGACUUAGAAGGAGCUGAACCUUAGGCAAAGGAGAUGAAUUGAGUUGCUUAAGGAUUAUGACUGUACAAUCGAGUAUCACCCAAGCAAGGCUAAUAUGGUAGCCGAUGCUCUAAGUCGUAGAGCUGUAUCUGAUCUGAGAGUAAUGUUUGCUCGUCUGAGUUUGUAUGAUGAUGGAAGUCUGUUGGCUGAGUUGCAAGUGAGGCCAACCUGGGUGGAUCAGAUUAAGGAAAAACAGUUGAACGAUGAGUCUUUGGUCGCUCGUUUUCAACAAGUUAAGGAAGGGGGAACUUUUGAGUUUGGGAGCCAGAAGAGACGAUGCAACAGCAAUACCCUCAUCUGUUUGGAUUAGGUAAAUUUCGAGGACGAAAUUUCUUUAAGGAGGGUAGAGUUGUAACGCCCCAAUUUUCGGGAAUCCUGUGAAUGUUGGCAUAGGUUUAAUUAUGUUAGUGGGCUCUAGAAAGCCCAAACUUAAGAUAGAACCCGACAAUUUUAGUUAAUUUUUGUUCCAUAACAAAAAGGGGGUGAAAUUAUGAAAUAGGACCUAUGUGAAAAUGUUUGAAAAUGCUAUAGGUUAAAUUGAAGUGACCAAAUAAAUAGGAGUGCAAAAUAGGAGGAUUUGCAUGACAAACCUCCCAUUUUACAUGAAGUGGCCAGCCAUCAUGUUGUUGUAGACAAAAUGUACACUUGAUAUCCAUAAUUUAUGAGACAAAUUGAUACAAAUUGAUAAUAGUUUAGGUAAAUGUUCCAUGAUAAUAGGUUAGGUAAAUGUUCCAUGAUAAUGGGUUAGGUAAAUGUUUCAUGAUAAGAAUUUCAUGUCUUUUGUAUUAAAGAAUUAAAUGGAUGAAAUAUGAAGUUUUAUUAAAAGAAAAAGGGGUAAAAAGAACAAAGUUUUGUCCAUCUUUGUUCAUCAUAGCUGAAAGUUAGAGAAGAGAAAGGAGAGGAGAAAGCUCUUGAGUAUUCGGUCAUUAGGAGGAGGAAAAUUGAAGGAAAUCCCCAACCAUAGUGGGCUUGGAGCUGUGAGGGAAUUCGGAGUGACCACCCGUUCUGAAAGUUUGAUUUUCUUCUGGUGAACUGGACAUCCUUUUAAUUACGUUUGAGGUUUUGGGCUUUUAAAUUUAAUAAGGCCGCUUAUUUAUUUUUGAUGGUUUUAAUAUGUAUUAGUAAGAUAGGUAUUACUUAUUUUAACUGUUGAAACUGGAUAGCUUUAGGGCGCGUUUUCAAAAACAACAGUUGAUUUCAAAAUAACACGACAACAAGCAAAGCUUCCGCAAUGAAAGUAUUUUCCAAAAUUAAUCACUUUUCCUAAAAA